RNAcentral lists this small nuclear RNA (79 nucleotides) under Homo sapiens (human). RNAcentral describes it as "partial ncRNA". The record is from RNAcentral. Lineage: Eukaryota; Metazoa; Chordata; Mammalia; Primates; Hominidae.
AGAGGAUCGCUUGAGCCCAGGAACUGGAGGCUGCAGUGAGUUGUGAUCAUACAACUGCACUCCAGGCUGGGCAACAGAA